This 71-nucleotide transfer RNA is filed under the name Candidatus Karelsulcia muelleri. RNAcentral's name for it is "tRNA-Gly". It matches the Rfam family "tRNA". Rfam says of the family: Transfer RNA (tRNA) molecules are approximately 80 nucleotides in length. Their secondary structure includes four short double-helical elements and three loops (D, anti-codon, and T loops). Lineage: Bacteria; Pseudomonadati; Bacteroidota; Flavobacteriia; Flavobacteriales. The record is from RNAcentral.
GCGGAAAUAACUCAGUGGCAGAGUAUCAGCCUUCCACGUUGAAAACACGGGUUCGAACCCCGUUUUCCGCU